CUGACUAUACGAUUUUGUAAACACCCCUUCUCGUCCGAUCACCAAAGCUAAGCAACUUAGGGUCCGAUAAGCACUUACAGGAGGCAAAAGAUAAUGGCCUCAUCU
Molecule: non-coding RNA, 105 nt
Organism: Paragonimus skrjabini miyazakii
Lineage: Eukaryota; Metazoa; Platyhelminthes; Trematoda; Plagiorchiida; Troglotrematidae
Source: the annotation of a GenBank genome assembly